This 468-nucleotide ribosomal RNA is filed under the name uncultured bacterium. RNAcentral describes it as "partial 16S ribosomal RNA". It matches the Rfam family "Bacterial small subunit ribosomal RNA", at positions 28 to 507 of the family's 1533-position model. The record is from RNAcentral.
GACGAACGCUGGCGGCGUGCUUAACACAUGCGAGUCGAACGGAAAGGCCCUGCUUUUGUGGGGUGCUCGAGUGGCGAACGGGUGAGUAACACGUGAGUAACCUGCCCUUGACUUUGGGAUAACUUCAGGAAACUGGGGCUAAUACCGGAUAGGAGCUCCUGCUGCAUGGUGGGGGUUGGAAAGUCUCGGCGGUUGGGGAUGGACUCGCGGCUUAUCAGCUUGUUGGUGGGGUAGUGGCUUACCAAGGCUUUGACGGGUAGCCGGCCUGAGAGGGUGACCGGCCACAUUGGGACUGAGAUACGGCCCAGACUCCUACGGGAGGCAGCAGUGGGGAAUAUUGCACAAUGGGCGGAAGCCUGAUGCAGCAACGCCGCGUGCGGGAUGACGGCCUUCGGGUUGUAAACCGCUUUCGCCUGUGACGAAGCGUGAGUGACGGUAAUGGGUAAAGAAGCACCGGCUAACUACGUG